RNAcentral lists this ribosomal RNA (2925 nucleotides) under Escherichia coli. RNAcentral's name for it is "bacterial LSU rRNA". It matches the Rfam family "Bacterial large subunit ribosomal RNA". The record is from RNAcentral. Lineage: Bacteria; Pseudomonadati; Pseudomonadota; Gammaproteobacteria; Enterobacterales; Enterobacteriaceae.
GGGUUGUGAGGUUAAGCGACUAAGCGUACACGGUGGAUGCCCUGGCAGUCAGAGGCGAUGAAGGACGUGCUAAUCUGCGAUAAGCGUCGGUGAGGUGAUAUGAACCGUUAUAACCGGCGAUUUCCGAAUGGGGAAACCCAGUGUGUUUCGACACACUAUCAUUAACUGAAUCCAUAGGUUAAUGAGGCGAACCGGGGGAACUGAAACAUCUAAGUACCCCGAGGAAAAGACAUCAACCGAGAUUCCCCCAGUAGCGGCGAGCGAACGGGGAGGAGCCCAGAGCCUGAAUCAGUGUGUGUGUUAGUGGAAGCGUCUGGAAAGGCGCGCGAUACAGGGUGACAGCCCCGUACACAAAAAUGCACAUAUUGUGAGCUCGAUGAGUAGGGCGGGACACGUGGUAUCCUGUCUGAAUAUGGGGGGACCAUCCUCCAAGGCUAAAUACUCCUGACUGACCGAUAGUGAACCAGUACCGUGAGGGAAAGGCGAAAAGAACCCCGGCGAGGGGAGUGAAAAAGAACCUGAAACCGUGUACGUACAAGCAGUGGGAGCCUCUUUAUGGGGUGACUGCGUACCUUUUGUAUAAUGGGUCAGCGACUUAUAUUCUGUAGCAAGGUUAACCGAAUAGGGGAGCCGAAGGGAAACCGAGUCUUAACUGGGCGUUAAGUUGCAGGGUAUAGACCCGAAACCCGGUGAUCUAGCCAUGGGCAGGUUGAAGGUUGGGUAACACUAACUGGAGGACCGAACCGACUAAUGUUGAAAAAUUAGCGGAUGACUUGUGGCUGGGGGUGAAAGGCCAAUCAAACCGGGAGAUAGCUGGUUCUCCCCGAAAGCUAUUUAGGUAGCGCCUCGUGAAUUCAUCUCCGGGGGUAGAGCACUGUUUCGGCAAGGGGGUCAUCCCGACUUACCAACCCGAUGCAAACUGCGAAUACCGGAGAAUGUUAUCACGGGAGACACACGGCGGGUGCUAACGUCCGUCGUGAAGAGGGAAACAACCCAGACCGCCAGCUAAGGUCCCAAAGUCAUGGUUAAGUGGGAAACGAUGUGGGAAGGCCCAGACAGCCAGGAUGUUGGCUUAGAAGCAGCCAUCAUUUAAAGAAAGCGUAAUAGCUCACUGGUCGAGUCGGCCUGCGCGGAAGAUGUAACGGGGCUAAACCAUGCACCGAAGCUGCGGCAGCGACACUAUGUGUUGUUGGGUAGGGGAGCGUUCUGUAAGCCUGUGAAGGUGGCCUGUGAGGGUUGCUGGAGGUAUCAGAAGUGCGAAUGCUGACAUAAGUAACGAUAAAGCGGGUGAAAAGCCCGCUCGCCGGAAGACCAAGGGUUCCUGUCCAACGUUAAUCGGGGCAGGGUGAGUCGACCCCUAAGGCGAGGCCGAAAGGCGUAGUCGAUGGGAAACAGGUUAAUAUUCCUGUACUUGGUGUUACUGCGAAGGGGGGACGGAGAAGGCUAUGUUGGCCGGGCGACGGUUGUCCCGGUUUAAGCGUGUAGGCUGGUUUUCCAGGCAAAUCCGGAAAACCAAGGCUGAGGCGUGAUGACGAGGCACUACGGUGCUGAAGCGACAAAUGCCCUGCUUCCAGGAAAAGCCUCUAAGCAUCAGGUAACAUCAAAUCGUACCCCAAACCGACACAGGUGGUCAGGUAGAGAAUACCAAGGCGCUUGAGAGAACUCGGGUGAAGGAACUAGGCAAAAUGGUGCCGUAACUUCGGGAGAAGGCACGCUGAUAUGUAGGUGAAGCGACUUGCUCGUGGAGCUGAAAUCAGUCGAAGAUACCAGCUGGCUGCAACUGUUUAUUAAAAACACAGCACUGUGCAAACACGAAAGUGGACGUAUACGGUGUGACGCCUGCCCGGUGCCGGAAGGUUAAUUGAUGGGGUUAGCGGUAACGCGAAGCUCUUGAUCGAAGCCCCGGUAAACGGCGGCCGUAACUAUAACGGUCCUAAGGUAGCGAAAUUCCUUGUCGGGUAAGUUCCGACCUGCACGAAUGGCGUAAUGAUGGCCAGGCUGUCUCCACCCGAGACUCAGUGAAAUUGAACUCGCUGUGAAGAUGCAGUGUACCCGCGGCAAGACGGAAAGACCCCGUGAACCUUUACUAUAGCUUGACACUGAACAUUGAGCCUUGAUGUGUAGGAUAGGUGGGAGGCUUUGAAGUGUGGACGCCAGUCUGCAUGGAGCCGACCUUGAAAUACCACCCUUUAAUGUUUGAUGUUCUAACGUUGGCCCGUAAUCCGGGUUGCGGACAGUGUCUGGUGGGUAGUUUGACUGGGGCGGUCUCCUCCUAAAGAGUAACGGAGGAGCACGAAGGUUGGCUAAUCCUGGUCGGACAUCAGGAGGUUAGUGCAAUGGCAUAAGCCAGCUUGACUGCGAGCGUGACGGCGCGAGCAGGUGCGAAAGCAGGUCAUAGUGAUCCGGUGGUUCUGAAUGGAAGGGCCAUCGCUCAACGGAUAAAAGGUACUCCGGGGAUAACAGGCUGAUACCGCCCAAGAGUUCAUAUCGACGGCGGUGUUUGGCACCUCGAUGUCGGCUCAUCACAUCCUGGGGCUGAAGUAGGUCCCAAGGGUAUGGCUGUUCGCCAUUUAAAGUGGUACGCGAGCUGGGUUUAGAACGUCGUGAGACAGUUCGGUCCCUAUCUGCCGUGGGCGCUGGAGAACUGAGGGGGGCUGCUCCUAGUACGAGAGGACCGGAGUGGACGCAUCACUGGUGUUCGGGUUGUCAUGCCAAUGGCACUGCCCGGUAGCUAAAUGCGGAAGAGAUAAGUGCUGAAAGCAUCUAAGCACGAAACUUGCCCCGAGAUGAGUUCUCCCUGAGACUUAGAGUCUCCUGAAGGAACGUUGAAGACGACGACGUUGAUAGGCCGGGUGUGUAAGCGCAGCGAUGCGUUGAGCUAACCGGUACUAAUGAACCGUGAGGCUUAACCUUACAACGCCGAAG